RNAcentral lists this ribosomal RNA (263 nucleotides) under uncultured bacterium. RNAcentral describes it as "partial 16S ribosomal RNA". It matches the Rfam family "Bacterial small subunit ribosomal RNA", at positions 92 to 354 of the family's 1533-position model. The record is from RNAcentral.
UUAGUGGCGGACGGGUGAGUAACGCGUGAUAACCUGCCGUAUACAGGGGGAGUAACACUUAGAAAUAGGUGCUAAUACCGCAUAAGCGCACGGUUCCGCAUGGAACAGUGUGAAAAACUCCGGUGGUAUACGAUGGAUCCGCGUCUGAUUAGCCAGUUGGCGGGGUAACGGCCCACCAAAGCGACGAUCAGUAGCCGGCCUGAGAGGGUGAACCGGCCACAUUGGGACUGAGACACGGCCCAAACUCCUACGGAAGGCAGCAG